GUGAGGAAUUUUCCGCAAUGGGCGAAAGCCUGACGGAGCAAUGCCGCGUGAAGGAUGAAGGCCUAUGGGUUGUAAACUUCUUUUCUCAGAAAAGAAUUAUGACGGUAUCUGAGGAAUAAGCAUCGGCUAACUCUGUGCCAGCAGCCGCGGUAAGACAGAGGAUGCAAGCGUUAUCCGGAAUGAUUGGGCGUAAAGCGUCUGUAGGUUGUUUAAAAAGUAUUCUGUCAAAGAUUAGGGCUUAACCCUAGAUAGGCAGAAUAAACUUUUAAGCUAGAGUUUGGUAGAGGCAGAGGGAAUUCCCUGUGGAGCGGUGAAAUGCGUAGAUAUCGGGAGGAACACCAAAGGCGAAGGCACUCUGCUGGGCCAAUACUAACACUGAGAGACGAAAGCGAGGGGAGCAAAUGGGAUUAGAAACCCCAGUAGUCC
Molecule: ribosomal RNA, 426 nt
Filed under: uncultured bacterium
Lineage: Bacteria
Description: partial 16S ribosomal RNA
Rfam family: Bacterial small subunit ribosomal RNA
Source: RNAcentral